UACGUAGGGGGCAAGCGUUGUCCGGAUUUACUGGGCGUAAAGGGCGCGUAGGCGGCGUGACAAGUCACUUGUGAAAUCUCCGGGCUUAACCCGGAACUGCCAAGUGAUACUGUCGUGCUAGAGUGCGGAAGGGGCAAUCGGAAUUCUCGGUGUAGCGGUGAAAUGCGUAGAUAUCGAGAGGAACACCUGAGGUGAAGACGGGUUGCUGGGCCGACACUGACGCUGAGUGCGCGAAAGCCAGGGGAGCAAACGGG
Molecule: ribosomal RNA, 254 nt
Filed under: uncultured bacterium
Lineage: Bacteria
Description: partial 16S ribosomal RNA
Rfam family: Bacterial small subunit ribosomal RNA
Source: RNAcentral